CUGACUUAGAAAGUACAUAAAAUAUUGUUGUUGAUCAGUUGAUGUAUUUGGUUAUGUGAUAAUUUGUGAGGCGAUAUUCUCGACCAAUCAUAUCGCAGAAGUAUGACAACAAUGCGACAAAGAAAGUUUUCGUUUAUACGAUCCUCACUGGAUAUCAGGGAUGCAAAAAUUGACGGAUUCUUAAUUACAUCAUCAGAAAUUGGCUCAAACACAGAACUGAUUUGCCUAACCACCUUCCUCUUUAAACGGCGUACCUGAACUUUGAGAUGACUCAGAGAUCGUAUGGCCCAAGAAAACAAUAUGUCACGCAUGUCUAUGGAACAUUAAAGAGAAUAAUGUUUUCUUGAAAAAGCAAGAAGCCAACCAUUUUUUUCAUGUUUGUUACAUUUUCAAGUUUUCCUUUGCUGGCUAACUUUCAUUUGUUGUAUUUGUUUGAAUCAAGAUAGUUCAAAAAUGCGUUAA
Long non-coding RNA from Xenia sp. Carnegie-2017, 462 nucleotides. RefSeq lists it as uncharacterized. The record is from RefSeq and is a predicted model, not a curated record. Lineage: Eukaryota; Metazoa; Cnidaria; Anthozoa; Malacalcyonacea; Xeniidae. The transcript has 2 exons.